Molecule: ribosomal RNA, 243 nt
Filed under: uncultured bacterium
Lineage: Bacteria
Description: partial 16S ribosomal RNA
Rfam family: Bacterial small subunit ribosomal RNA
Source: RNAcentral
CGACGUGAGCAGCCUGGCUAUAANAGGGGAAUAACAGUUAGAAAUGACUGCUAAUACCGCAUAAGCUGAUAAAGUCGCAUGAUUUAGUCAGAAAAGGAGCAAUCCGCUUAUAGAUGGGCUCGCGUCCGAUUAGCUAGUUGGUGGGGUAGAAGCCUACCAAGGCGACGAUCGGUAGCCGGACUGAGAGGUUGAACGGCCACAUUGGGACUGAGAUACGGCCCAGACUCCUACGGAAGGCAGCAG